GAAGAGGCUGGGGGUCCCGGCCUUGUGCCUUACCUGCGCCCGGAGGUCGCCUCCUUCUUGGGAGAGGAUGGGGACGUGGCAUAGCCACCCACGCGCCGCGGGGGUCCCGAGCCAUUAAGGGGCGUCCUGGUGGGAAGGCCUUUCAAGAGCUGACACACUGGAGGGAUGGGGACAGAAGAGGGCGACGCAGAGCAUCCGCCAGCGCCGCCUUUAGGACCGCCAGCUCGUCUUCCUGUAACUGCAGCCGCUGCUCCAGCGCCGACACGCGGUCGUCCACUUCCAUACCGCUCGUGCCCGACAAAUUGUCAUCUGGAAGACGGGGGAGUGCCGGCUGCAGGGCCACCCAGGAGCUCCAGUACCCAACUGGUCCCUCCCGCCUUCCUGGGUCUAAGCGAGGGGGCCAGCCACGCCCCUUUCCUGUCCCGCUACCUGGGGCUGGGACACUUGGAGAUGGGCCAAGGAAGAGGACUCUGAAGGGGGAAGGAAAUCCCCACCGCUCUCCAACCCAUCCCCACACUCCUCUCUGCCGCAGCGCGCUGGCCCUGUGACCUUGGGGAAGUCCCUUCCCUCUUAUUUUCUAAGAUUCUGUGAACCCAGGAGCCUCUCGCUCUGGCUUUAAGAUUCUAUGACUAAGAUGUGGCCAGGCACGGUGGCUCACGCAUGUAACCCUAGCACUUUGGGAGGCCGAGGCGGGCGGAUCACGAGGUCAGGAGAUCGAGACCAUCCUGGCCAACACGGUGAAACCCUGUCUCUACUAAAAUACAAAAAGAAAAAGAAAAAAAAAAUU
Mandrillus leucophaeus (drill) is the source of this 787-nucleotide long non-coding RNA. RefSeq lists it as uncharacterized. The transcript has 2 exons. Lineage: Eukaryota; Metazoa; Chordata; Mammalia; Primates; Cercopithecidae. The record is from RefSeq and is a predicted model, not a curated record.